This 468-nucleotide ribosomal RNA is filed under the name uncultured bacterium. RNAcentral's name for it is "partial 16S ribosomal RNA". It matches the Rfam family "Bacterial small subunit ribosomal RNA", at positions 28 to 507 of the family's 1533-position model. The record is from RNAcentral.
GACGAACGCUGGCGGCGUGCUUAACACAUGCAAGUCGAACGGAAAGGCCCUGCUUUUGUGGGGUGCUCGAGUGGCGAACGGGUGAGUAACACGUGAUUAACCUGCCCUUGACUUUGGGAUAACUUCAGGAAACUGGUGCUAAUACCGGAUAGGAGCUCCUGCUGCUUGGUGGGGGUUGGAAAGUUUCGGCGGUUGGGGAUGGACUCGCGGCUUAUCAGCUUGUUGGUGGGGUAGUGGCUUACCAAGGCUUUGACGGGUAGCCGGCCUGAGAGGGUGACCGGCCACAUUGGGACUGAGAUACGGCCCAGACUCCUACGGGAGGCAGCAGUGGGGAAUAUUGCACAAUGGGCGGAAGCCUGAUGCAGCAACGCCGCGUGCGGGAUGACGGCCUUCGGGUUGUAAACCGCUUUCGCCUGUGACGAAGCGUGAGUGACGGUAAUGGGUAAAGAAGCACCGGCUAACUACGUG